This 667-nucleotide long non-coding RNA is filed under the name Homo sapiens (human). RNAcentral's name for it is "non-protein coding lnc-RELL1-9:1". The record is from RNAcentral. Lineage: Eukaryota; Metazoa; Chordata; Mammalia; Primates; Hominidae.
AGGCAUCUCUGCCAGCCUUGCCACACCAUGAGAAGGCCAAGGGACUGGCACAAGUGUCUGGCACCUCAGCAGUGCCACUUGGUCAUUCAUGAGCAGUCCCUCAUGUUCAGGAACAGUGCCUGUCACCCAGGCCACUUCAGCUGCAUCCACUGUAGGAAGGAGCUGACUGGUGAGGCCCAUGAGCUGAAGGGUGAACUCUACUGCCUGCCCUGCAUUGACAAGAUGCUGUCCCCAUUUCUAGGGACUGCAGCCAGCCCAUCAAAGGCCACAUAGUGAAUACACUGGGCAAAGAGUGGUGGCAUGCAGAGCUCUUUUCCCUGAGUGUGAGAAGCCAUUCCUGGGGCCCUGGCACUAUGAGAAGAAGGGCCUGGCCUACUUUGAGAUCCACUACAGCCAGCUCUUUGGGACAUCUGCUGUAGCUGCAGCCAUGAGGUCAAGGGUGACAUGGUGUUGGCCCUCAACAAGGCCUGAUGUGUGUGAACUGCUUCUCCCGCUCCACCUGCAAGAGCAGGCUCACUCUGAAGAUCAAGUUUGUGGAGUUUGACAUGAAGCCCGUGUGUAAGAACUUCCCACUGGAACUGAAGAAGAGGCUGAAGAAGUCAUUGGAGCUCACGUCUCGCUAGGCCUAGCCCAAGUCUGGGGACCUCAACUCUGAAGGCUCUCUUGC